Fukomys damarensis (Damara mole-rat) is the source of this 487-nucleotide long non-coding RNA. RefSeq lists it as uncharacterized. The transcript has 3 exons. The record is from RefSeq and is a predicted model, not a curated record. NCBI's taxonomy places the organism in Eukaryota, Metazoa, Chordata, Mammalia, Rodentia, Bathyergidae.
AUGAUGUGAGCAACUUUCCCGCAUCAGACCCUUCCACCAUGCUAAUUCUGUGCUGGUGCCUGCUAAUCAUGGACUGAGCCCAAGAAAACUAAAAUAUGAAAAAAAUGGAUUGGUGUAAAAAUGGGAACUCAGUGAGAAACUGGAGCCACAGGAGCACAAGGUGACAAUAUCCUGAGAAGAAACAGCAGCACUGGUAGCUGUCUUUGACUGAGCACUCCCAUGUUCCAGGAACUCUGAGAAGUUUGCAUGCACGUCAUUCCAUCCUCAUGACAGCCUGUGAGUAAACCUCAGAACGAGAAGGGUCAAAGAUAUUCUAAGUUGGAGCAGAUGUUUGAAGUCAGCUAGUUCAAUGCCUUCAUUUUACUGAUGAAGAGGCUGAAGAAUACAGACACUCUUCCGUGGCCACAAAAUGAGUUAUUUCAUCCAUCUACUGAAGGAAAUAUGUAUUGAACUCCUACCAUGUGUUAAGUAUAUGUUGUAUCUGAAC